This 497-nucleotide ribosomal RNA is filed under the name uncultured bacterium. Its description in RNAcentral is "partial 16S ribosomal RNA". It matches the Rfam family "Bacterial small subunit ribosomal RNA", at positions 28 to 507 of the family's 1533-position model. The record is from RNAcentral.
GAUGAACGCUGGCGGCGUGCCUAAUACAUGCAAGUCGAGCGAACAGAUGAGGAGCUUGCUCCUCUGACGUUAGCGGCGGACGGGUGAGUAACACGUGGAUAACCUACCUAUAAGACUGGGAUAACUUCGGGAAACCGGAGCUAAUACCGGAUAAUAUAUUGAACCGCAUGGUUCAAUAGUGAAAGACGGUUUUGCUGUCACUUAUAGAUGGAUCCGCGCCGCAUUAGCUAGUUGGUAAGGUAACGGCUUACUAAGGCAACGAUGCGUAGCCGACCUGAGAGGGUGAUCGGCCACACUGGAACUGAGACACGGUCCAGACGCCUACGGGAGGCAGCAGUAGGGAAUCUUCCGCAAUGGGCGAAAGCCUGACGGAGCAACGCCGCGUGAGUGAUGAAGGUCUUCGGAUCGUAAAACUCUGUUAUUAGGGAAGAACAAAUGUGUAAGUAACUAUGCACGUCUUGACGGUACCUAAUCAGAAAGCCACGGCUAACUACGUG